RNAcentral lists this small RNA (1053 nucleotides) under Arabidopsis thaliana (thale cress). Its description in RNAcentral is "ATSL047990". Lineage: Eukaryota; Viridiplantae; Streptophyta; Magnoliopsida; Brassicales; Brassicaceae. The record is from RNAcentral.
UCCUUUUUGGAGAGAAGCUGGAGACUCCGACGAAGUGAGAACUCCCGUGCAACGCUGCUCUUGUUGAAAUUUUCAGCUAGAGACACCCAGAUCUGACGAGAGGUGCUCAGAUUGUGGACAUGACCAAGGACUUCUUCAGACAACGUGCCAAAGAGCCAUGACCGAAUUAGCUGAUCGGUACAGAACCAAGCUUCAUACAGAGGAUUUGGUUCUUCACAGGUGACUUCACCGUUGACGACAAGGCGAGUCGGAGACGGAGCAUUGACGACGCCGUUCACAAAACCAAUGAGUUUCUGACUGGACAACAGAGACUCAAACUGUGUUUUCCACAAGAGAUAGUUACUGUCUGUCAGCUUGAGAGUGACAGAGCUAGUAACAUAAACAUUAUCCGGGAAAGGAUAGGAGGUUGCCAUUGUUUCACCUGUUAAGGUUUAAUGGCUCUGAUACCAUGUAAGUUAAGAGAGAAUUUGAGAGUUUCUGUAAAAUGAUUUUAUUCACACUGAUUUACAUUAGGGUUUUACAUUUCCUUUAUAUAGACAAAUUUGGAACAAUCUAGAAUAAGCUAGUGUAGCUGGUGAGUCAUCAUCAAAGGAUCGACGCUCCUCCUCUGUACGUUUGAUGCUCUGUUUUUGAGCUGGAGGAUCUUUUGUCUCCUUCUGUUGACUCUUCUGUUGACUGGACUUUGUUGGGCCUGAUUCCUUAUUUGUUAUUGGGCAUGUUUGGUGUUUGUUCCUUACACCGACAAUAUUUGGGAUGAUCAAGCCCUGAAACUGAUAAUAGAGAAAGUGAUUUGAGCUCAGGGAAAAACAUACGCUCGACUUCAAGAGAAUAUGCGCCUGAUAGUGUGAGCUUAACCAGUGUCUUGCUAGUUAACAACUCUGUCUCUAUAUUAACACUAGAGCGGGGGUUGGCGUGCAAGUGUAGUUCCAGUAAACCGCGUUCCAAUGCAGUACAAAUCAACCGGCUGAGACAACGGUUCCCAUGAUCGUAUGCCUCAGGGAAAUUGACAUAUUUAUACAGACGAGACAGAGAGAACUUCUUCAUGUGAGAAUU